Long non-coding RNA from Vidua macroura (Pin-tailed whydah), 798 nucleotides. RefSeq lists it as uncharacterized. The record is from RefSeq and is a predicted model, not a curated record. The transcript has 3 exons. NCBI's taxonomy places the organism in Eukaryota, Metazoa, Chordata, Aves, Passeriformes, Viduidae.
CUGCUUUGUACAAACUUUCGAAAAGGCCCAAACCAUGGAUGAGGGGGCUCAGUCUACCAUUCGUAAAUUCACAGACGCAGCCUGCAAGGAACACAAACAGCCCUUGAAAGGCAAGUAAUGUUAAAUACCACCCCCUCCUCCCACACCUGAUGUAAGACACCUCCAGAUGUUUGACUUCACCUUGUACACGGGAAAAUGCCUCUGUAGUUUUGGUGCUGGCCAGUACUCAACAGGUCCUCACUCAUUGCCCAGGCUGUACCAUGGCCAUUAUUUCCAAGGCAGGCAGAACAAGAACACUGAUCCUACUACGAAACCUUUUCAAUCUGGAUGUAAAAAAAAAAAUGGACAGUGACGUCCAAGGAAACAAAAUGAUGCUGACCAGCAUGCCAGGCAAUGAAACCCCAAUCAUUUGUGCUUUGUGAGGUACAGGCCUUUGUGAAGCUUUUUACAGAAUUCUCUGAAGAACAGUGCAGCUGCUGAGAAGGUUUUUAUGAAGACCUUUACGCAAGCAUAGGGGAAGGCAAGGAAAGAAUUAGUGCACUCAGCUGAAAAAGUGAUGUGAGCACUGUAAAAGGUUGGAGCUGGCAUCUUACUAAGGAAGUCACUGACACAAAGCAGUUACAGGUACUGAAGGGCCCUCAGAAACAAAAUCAAGUAACUUCAGCUUCACUCAACAGAGAAGGGGCAGACAGAAAAGAUGCAGAGUUUUAACUAUUUUUAAUCAUUAUAAAAUAGCCUGUGUAAAAACAGUCAAAGCUAGCUGCAAUUAACUUUUUUUCAAUAUGCACAAGAUAGCCA